RNAcentral lists this small RNA (108 nucleotides) under Marmota monax (woodchuck). Lineage: Eukaryota; Metazoa; Chordata; Mammalia; Rodentia; Sciuridae. The record is from RNAcentral.
GCUGGGCAUUGGUGGUGCAUGCCUGUAAUCCUAGCUACUCAGAAGGCUGAGGCAGGAGGAUUGCAAGUUUGCAGCUAGCCUCCAUAACAUAGUGAGACCCUUUCUCAA